GGGACCGACUGUGUGACAUCGGGAAGUGAUUUAUCCCCCCGGUGUCCGGGUGUCCUAAUCAGUGAAGUAGAGAUGUUCAUGAUGACCUUAGAAACCAUAUGAAGAAGAGGAGCCACAAAAUGGAAGGAGAGCCACCACCAAUCAAAACAUACAUUUUGGACUUUAUAUCUCUCAAGGCUUGGUGAGAACACUUAGAGGAACGGGAUGAAUUGUGCGAGCAGGAAGCAAAAGGGGAAAUGCCUAAACAUCAUCUGGAUCUUCUGAACUACUUUUUACAAACCUUCAGAGGAGCAAUCGUGGAACCCCCAUGAGUCUCAUUCCUUCAGGGCAGGUGCCCCGUAGCCAUAUGAGUGAAUGGCUCUCCCACAGCCUUCUGUCCGUGCAAUGUCUUAGCAACGUCUUAAAUUGUUAGGGAUUUCUGAAUAAAUAAGACAUACU
This is a long non-coding RNA of Mustela lutreola (European mink), 438 nucleotides long. RefSeq lists it as uncharacterized. The record is from RefSeq and is a predicted model, not a curated record. The transcript has 3 exons. Lineage: Eukaryota; Metazoa; Chordata; Mammalia; Carnivora; Mustelidae.